AGCAGUGCCGCGGUAAUACGUAGGUGGCAAGCGUUGUCCGGAAUUAUUGGGCGUAAAGGGCUCGCAGGCGGUUUCUUAAGUCUGAUGUGAAAGCCCCCGGCUCAACCGGGGAGGGUCAUUGGAAACUGGGAAACUUGAGUGCAGAAGAGGAGAGUGGAAUUCCACGUGUAGCGGUGAAAUGCGUAGAGAUGUGGAGGAACACCAGUGGCGAAGGCGACUCUCUGGUCUGUAACUGACGCUGAGGAGCGAAAGCGUGGGGAGCGAACAGGAUUAGAUACCCGGGUAGUCCCUGUCUCUUAUACA
Molecule: ribosomal RNA, 303 nt
Filed under: uncultured bacterium
Lineage: Bacteria
Description: partial 16S ribosomal RNA
Rfam family: Bacterial small subunit ribosomal RNA
Source: RNAcentral